RNAcentral lists this ribosomal RNA (235 nucleotides) under uncultured bacterium. Its description in RNAcentral is "partial 16S ribosomal RNA". It matches the Rfam family "Bacterial small subunit ribosomal RNA", at positions 96 to 334 of the family's 1533-position model. The record is from RNAcentral.
CGGCGGACGGGUGAGUAACGCGUAGGAAUCUACCUGGUAGUGGGGGACAACAUGGGGAAACUCAUGCUAAUACCGCAUACGCUCUACGGAGGAAAGCGGGGGCUCUUCGGACCUCGCGCUAUUAGAUGAGCCUAAGUCGGAUUAGCUUGUUGGUGGGGUAAAAGCCUACCAAGGCGACGAUCCGUAGCUGGUCUGAGAGGACGAUCAGCCACACUGGGACUGAGACACGGCCCAG